Stylophora pistillata is the source of this 821-nucleotide long non-coding RNA. RefSeq lists it as uncharacterized. NCBI's taxonomy places the organism in Eukaryota, Metazoa, Cnidaria, Anthozoa, Scleractinia, Pocilloporidae. The record is from RefSeq and is a predicted model, not a curated record.
UGUAAAAAAGCUGCGUGUUGAAUCUAUGAUCAGAAUGAAAUGUUCUUACGCCUUGCUGGUAUCGCUACCCAUUUUGUUUGGUUUAACAGGUGGGAGACCUGUGUCACCAGACUGUGGCAUCCAGUGUGUUGGUUCUCUACCUCAGUGUAAUCUUCCACGACUAUUCGGUUUCCCGAAAUGCACCACACAGCUUGACAACUGCAAGUUCAACAAGCCGCGCCCUUUCAGACCAGGAGUGAUUAUGCUUGGCGAACCUGAAUGUUAUUAGAGAAACUCUUCGAUCGGGUGUGGAGAGGUAUCUGCCUUCCGAGCACCAGAAUGAAGAGAGAUGUUGUUGCGUCACGCUAGCGUGUAACGCCUCCAGUUAAUUCAAACGCGACGUAUCUACGACCCGAAGACGAGAACUCUAAACUAAGUUCCGGGGACUUAACCUUUAAAUUCCCAUGAGUGACCAUAAGAAAAUUUCUCCGUACAAUAUCAACACAAUAUCCAGCGGACAAGUGAUAAGAAUUAAGAAAAAUAUCAACUAGGUUAUCAUUAGUCAAUCCAAUACCAAAGUCUCCAAACUGACAUUAUAAGAAUUGUAUGUCAGACACUGAGGAGAAUUACUAAUGAGAUUUUGGGCGUGAAAGGGUUAACCUCUGGCUGCCAAAUUUUUCUGUCGUUUGGAUUUUGAGAGGCUACGAAAAUUUAAGAUUGACUUUUCCUGAACCAGUUCCCUAAACUCCAAUAAGUGACCAAGACAGAAUUUCUCCUAACAAUGUCAAUACAAUAUCAGGCAGACAAGGGAUGAGAAUAAAGAGUUAUUUUAAAUCAGGAGA